This 468-nucleotide ribosomal RNA is filed under the name Acinetobacter baumannii. RNAcentral's name for it is "bacterial SSU rRNA". It matches the Rfam family "Bacterial small subunit ribosomal RNA", at positions 66 to 527 of the family's 1533-position model. The record is from RNAcentral. Lineage: Bacteria; Pseudomonadati; Pseudomonadota; Gammaproteobacteria; Moraxellales; Moraxellaceae.
GCGGGGGAAGGUAGCUUGCUACUGGACCUAGCGGCGGACGGGUGAGUAAUGCUUAGGAAUCUGCCUAUUAGUGGGGGACAACAUCUCGAAAGGGAUGCUAAUACCGCAUACGUCCUACGGGAGAAAGCAGGGGAUCUUCGGACCUUGCGCUAAUAGAUGAGCCUAAGUCGGAUUAGCUAGUUGGUGGGGUAAAGGCCUACCAAGGCGACGAUCUGUAGCGGGUCUGAGAGGAUGAUCCGCCACACUGGGACUGAGACACGGCCCAGACUCCUACGGGAGGCAGCAGUGGGGAAUAUUGGACAAUGGGGGGAACCCUGAUCCAGCCAUGCCGCGUGUGUGAAGAAGGCCUUAUGGUUGUAAAGCACUUUAAGCGAGGAGGAGGCUACUUUAGUUAAUACCUAGAGAUAGUGGACGUUACUCGCAGAAUAAGCACCGGCUAACUCUGUGCCAGCAGCGGCCGGUAAUAAA